CCUACGGGAGGCAGCAGUGAGGAAUAUUGGUCAAUGGGCGCGAGCCUGAUCCAGCCAAGUAGCGUGAAGGAUGACUGCCCUACGGGUUGUAAACUUCUUUUAUAAAGGACUAAAGUGUGGCACGUGUGCCUUUUUGUAUGUACUUUAUGAAUAAGGAUCGGCUCACUCCGUGCCAGCAGCCGCGGUAAUACGGAGGAUCCGAGCGUUAUCCGGAUUUAGUGGGUUUAAAGGGAGCGUAGAUGGGUGGUUAAGUCAGUUGUGAAAGUUUGCGGCUCAACCGUAAAAUUGCAAUUGAUACUGGCAGGCUGGAGUACAGUUGAGGUAGGCGGAAUUCGUGGUGUAGCGGUGAAAUGCGUAGAUAUCACGAAGAACUCCGAUUGCGAAGGCAGCUUACUAAACUGCCACUGACAUUGAUGCGCGAAAGUGUGGGUAGCAAACAGGAGUAGAUACCCGGGUAGUC
This 460-nucleotide ribosomal RNA is filed under the name uncultured bacterium. RNAcentral describes it as "partial 16S ribosomal RNA". It matches the Rfam family "Bacterial small subunit ribosomal RNA", at positions 338 to 795 of the family's 1533-position model. The record is from RNAcentral.